UUAAAGAACAGCUCCUCUGUAUGCAGCUCCACCAUGGUGUCACAAGACACAAAGUUUGCCAAAGAAGCCAAGUUAAGCUUGGUAAACUACACAGACUCGGAUGAAUCAGCCGUCAGUUCCAACACUAAUGAAGAUGUUCCCUCAUCCACCAUACAGAGCAAAGAGAAGAUUCCUGUUGGAUUUGAUCUUUCUGACUCCAGUAUGACACAUGGAGAUGAUGUCCGACAAUUGAUUGUGCCAAGGCUUAGGAGGACCAAAAGCGUCUUUAUGAAAGACAGGAUUCCUGAUGGAUCUGAUGAGCUUUAUUGCACCAGUACUGAUAGUGGGGAAGAAUACGUUCCAGCUUCAAUUGCAGAAAGUACAGAUGAUACAGAUGGAAGCAUGAUCUGUGAAAUGUCACCAUCUAUGUCACCAUCAUCCUUGUCAGACAGGACUCUGAGUAGCAGAAGCAGUGCAACAAAUGUCUGUAUUCCUGACACCACAUGCUCUCCUAGCAGGGAACAUGGUGAAAGUGCCUCAGUAUCCAUUCCUGCUGUCAGAAAGAAAGAAGAUGGAUCUCGGAUGUACAACAAGAGACAGUUCUGUUUGUAUUGCGGGUCUUCUUUCCUAAAAAUCGUGAAGCAUUU
Long non-coding RNA from Gadus morhua (Atlantic cod), 626 nucleotides. RefSeq lists it as uncharacterized. NCBI's taxonomy places the organism in Eukaryota, Metazoa, Chordata, Actinopteri, Gadiformes, Gadidae. The transcript is spliced from 3 exons. The record is from RefSeq and is a predicted model, not a curated record.